CUCAGAUCCGUAAAACGUACUCCGCUGCUUGGCGGGAUCUUAUUAGUCUAUGUGAAAUCAAAGCCGGUGAUGCAUACUGGCCAAUCAUGGAACGGAGUUUUAAUGAUGCUCCACUUACUUCUGAUACUGACUUUCGUUCUGGUGAAGUCUUUUGUGAACAGCUUCGAGCUUGGGCACAGGAUAAACUAGCAGAUCAGGCUACCUGCAUUAAUGACAUUAUACAGGACAAACUUGAGACAGUUGAGAAGUAUCACUCUAGGUUGACUCAGACUUUUUCAGACUUAGGGUUUAGUACUUACAACAAAGCACACACCCAGAUGCUAUCUGCAGCCUUUGUGGCAGGGCUUAGAGAACACAUCCGUAAGGGGUUAAUCUUAGCUCGGCCUGAGUAUAGAAUUAUUCCACUGGAUACUCUUUUGCUAGUUGCCAAGGGCUUAGAAUCUGUUUUGCUACCUACACUACGUAGACCCAGUCCUCUGAUGUAUGCUACCUCCACCCCAUUCGCUGGUCCAAGCCAGGGUCCUCAGAUGUUUCCCCAACAGUACACCCAGCCCCCCCCGACACUGCCUGCACCAAUCCCUUUCUCCCGUGAUCGGUCUGUCACGACAAUCCGGACCUGCUUUAAUUGUAAUCAGCCAGGUCACUUUAGAAGAGAUUGCCCACACCCUAGAGUGUUCCGCCAGCAGACUCCCCGGUACCAAAAUCCAC
Pelobates cultripes (western spadefoot toad) is the source of this 708-nucleotide non-coding RNA. Lineage: Eukaryota; Metazoa; Chordata; Amphibia; Anura; Pelobatidae. The record is from the annotation of a GenBank genome assembly.